RNAcentral lists this ribosomal RNA (1341 nucleotides) under Staphylococcus aureus. Its description in RNAcentral is "bacterial SSU rRNA". It matches the Rfam family "Bacterial small subunit ribosomal RNA", at positions 77 to 1402 of the family's 1533-position model. Lineage: Bacteria; Bacillati; Bacillota; Bacilli; Caryophanales; Staphylococcaceae. The record is from RNAcentral.
AGCUUGCUUCUCUGAUGUUAGCGGCGGACGGGUGAGUAACACGUGGAUAACCUACCUAUAAGACUGGGAUAACUUCGGGAAACCGGAGCUAAUACCGGAUAAUAUUUUGAACCGCAUGGUUCAAAAGUGAAAGACGGUCUUGCUGUCACUUAUAGAUGGAUCCGCGCUGCAUUAGCUAGUUGGUAAGGUAACGGCUUACCAAGGCAACGAUGCAUAGCCGACCUGAGAGGGUGAUCGGCCACACUGGAACUGAGACACGGUCCAGACUCCUACGGGAGGCAGCAGUAGGGAAUCUUCCGCAAUGGGCGAAAGCCUGACGGAGCAACGCCGCGUGAGUGAUGAAGGUCUUCGGAUCGUAAAACUCUGUUAUUAGGGAAGAACAUAUGUGUAAGUAACUGUGCACAUCUUGACGGUACCUAAUCAGAAAGCCACGGCUAACUACGUGCCAGCAGCCGCGGUAAUACGUAGGUGGCAAGCGUUAUCCGGAAUUAUUGGGCGUAAAGCGCGCGUAGGCGGUUUUUUAAGUCUGAUGUGAAAGCCCACGGCUCAACCGUGGAGGGUCAUUGGAAACUGGAAAACUUGAGUGCAGAAGAGGAAAGUGGAAUUCCAUGUGUAGCGGUGAAAUGCGCAGAGAUAUGGAGGAACACCAGUGGCGAAGGCGACUUUCUGGUCUGUAACUGACGCUGAUGUGCGAAAGCGUGGGGAUCAAACAGGAUUAGAUACCCUGGUAGUCCACGCCGUAAACGAUGAGUGCUAAGUGUUAGGGGGUUUCCGCCCCUUAGUGCUGCAGCUAACGCAUUAAGCACUCCGCCUGGGGAGUACGACCGCAAGGUUGAAACUCAAAGGAAUUGACGGGGACCCGCACAAGCGGUGGAGCAUGUGGUUUAAUUCGAAGCAACGCGAAGAACCUUACCAAAUCUUGACAUCCUUUGACAACUCUAGAGAUAGAGCUUUCCCCUUCGGGGGACAAAGUGACAGGUGGUGCAUGGUUGUCGUCAGCUCGUGUCGUGAGAUGUUGGGUUAAGUCCCGCAACGAGCGCAACCCUUAAGCUUAGUUGCCAUCAUUAAGUUGGGCACUCUAAGUUGACUGCCGGUGACAAACCGGAGGAAGGUGGGGAUGACGUCAAAUCAUCAUGCCCCUUAUGAUUUGGGCUACACACGUGCUACAAUGGACAAUACAAAGGGCAGCGAAACCGCGAGGUCAAGCAAAUCCCAUAAAGUUGUUCUCAGUUCGGAUUGUAGUCUGCAACUCGACUACAUGAAGCUGGAAUCGCUAGUAAUCGUAGAUCAGCAUGCUACGGUGAAUACGUUCCCGGGUCUUGUACACACCGCCCGUCACAC